This 228-nucleotide long non-coding RNA is filed under the name Mytilus galloprovincialis (Mediterranean mussel). Lineage: Eukaryota; Metazoa; Mollusca; Bivalvia; Mytilida; Mytilidae. The record is from RNAcentral.
CUUUAUUUUUGAUGAAAAAAUGCAAAAUGUGCCAUUCAAUCCCCCAUCCCCCCUUAAAAAAAAUCGUAAAAAUCGCGCGUUUGUCGCCAAAUACAUGAAUUUAAUAUUCAAUGAUUGGAGGUCCCGUGGGUUGGAACAACCCUUUUUUUGUAUGAUCAAUGCAUUUAAAUGAGGACAUAAAGUUGGACCCCCCCCCUGUUUUGUCCUGGAUUUGGACCUGGAUCCGCC